AUAUUACACACAAGCUCACGUUGGUCGGCCAUCCACUGUCAAAUGGCGAGGUGGAAGUAACCAAUCGGACAAUCCUACAUGGGCUAAAAAUUUGACUGAAUGAAGUCAAAAGCCUCUGGGUAGAAGAAUUAUAUCUGAUCUUAUGAGCAUAUCGAACGACUCCCCGCAUACCGACUGGAGAAUUCUCCUUCAACUUAGCUUAUAGGACAGAAGCAAUGAUACUGCUUGA
This 229-nucleotide long non-coding RNA is filed under the name Elaeis guineensis (African oil palm). RNAcentral's name for it is "long non-coding RNA (EGUI_LNC005357)". Lineage: Eukaryota; Viridiplantae; Streptophyta; Magnoliopsida; Arecales; Arecaceae. The record is from RNAcentral.